CAGACUAUAUGUUAUGAUUGAAAUUGUAUUUAUAAUUAUCAGAAAUUAGAUCUGUUAAAUCUUCAUACAGGGUUUCGACGCUGCCAUAUUUCCCAGUAUUAAAAUUUUCCCAGUAGGCAAAGAGAGUAGAAGUAAAAUGAGAAGUGCUUUUCUUUUGAUUUUCUGCUUAUUUAUCGGUUGCCAAUAGAAACGAUUUGAAAGGGACCAUUUGUGAUUCUGUGUGUAACAAUUCAAUUAGUAAGUAAAGGUUAAGGUGAGGUUUUUUAGCUAACCGUUUAAGGCGGGAGUGGUAACUUUCAAUGGAACUGUUAGUUCGAAUUGGCUGCAUGAAUACCGACCAUGACUUCGGUCGCCACACAGUGCUGUUUAGCCAUGUCUUUUCCAUAUAAUCAAAUAGAUAUGCUCCCUUCCUCUCUAUAUAUAGAUAUAGAACAUGCUCCAAGAAUGAUGUUCAAAUCCACAUCUUGGGAAAGAAAAAUGUAAGAAUUAUUUCAUUCGCAGUUAAUGUAUAGUAGGCCUACUUUUGGGUUUGGGGUUUUAAAACUUUACCGUUUUGUUUUAGCGUUGUUAUUCAGCUUCCCUUAUCUUUGACUCUUUUUAUACAUUUAACACAUUAUUUUUGAUAUUUUCCGGAACGAUACAAAAGGAGAGAAGGAAACAGAGAACUAGGAACAGGAAUUUUUGACAAUUUCAUCUUGUAAUCGAACAUUUUCUUUUCCCUUUUCUUUCUUGGCCACUUUAAUCAUCUUGUUCCUCAUUCUCGGUGAUGCUGCAAUCUGUGAAAAUGCUUGAUAGAUCGCUAAUAAGGGCUAAUAUUUAUUAAAAUUUAGAGCUUAUAUUACCUAAAAAAAAAUACAUUAAUUUAUAUUCAACUUCAUUCCUACAGGUAAACUCACCUUUCAAUUCACCAUAUUUAUUUUACAUUUCAGGAACGGCUUCUUCUGGAAGACACAUUUCAUCCAUUCCAGGUUUUUGAGCUUCAUCUCCAGAAUCUGUAAUUACCAAAACAGAUUAUUCCACCUUAAUAUUUAUUAAAAUUUAGAGCUUAUAUUACCUUUCAAAACAUCCUCCAUUUCUUCUUCAGUUACGGCUCCUGCCUGAUCUCCGUACAUAUCAUCAUCCUGGAUUUGAUCAACUUCAAGAUCCGAUUGGUCUUGUUCGAAAAGAUAACGUGUCAAAUUACCUUACUGAAAUUGAUGAGAAUAAUUAAAGAUGAUAACACUAGUGUUGGUUGAUUGUACCCCCGAUUUUUUCUGGGACUGAGCUGUACAGAGGUAUGAUAUGCGAAUAAGGGCCCGACAACCCUCCAAUAUCUUCGGAUGGAUUGAGAUGCAUGUAUCCUAGAAGAAAUAACUCUCUAUAUCCGUCACUAAUAUGGCAGCCAUCGUAAUAAUUGAGAGGUCCAAAGAAGAUUUGAGAUAUUGUCUCUGUGGUUGAGCCGGUAAACUAUUGGUCUACUCUGUUCUUAAUUAUUUGUCAAGCAGCUGGAGGGGGGACAUAUCGUAUUCACCACAUUACUGGGCUUUGGCGUCUCUGGAGGAUGGGCAUAGGUUUUAAUUGCCACAAGAGCAACCUCAUAAAAUAAAGAAUAAUAUGCAAAAGAAGAAGGGCAUGAAGCGGGUCAAGAGACAACAGAGCAUGGAAACGAGAGAAGACAAAGAAGGAAUGCAAACCACCACCUAUAACUUCUUGCAGAGAUGUGUCUAAACCUAUUAGAAAAUCAGCAGGAAUGUGACUAAAUUUGUGUUGAAAGAUUCGAGUCUGUGAGUUGAGUGUCAAGUCUGUUUACCUAUUUUCUCUUUUAUUCAAGUGGUUGUACAUUGAAUUUCUCAAACUCUGUGGGUAAGAUCUUUAAUAUAUCUUCGCAUCAAACGGUUCUUCCUAAGCACAGGUGAAAAUGAUGGUGAAUUCGUCAAUCAGCAAAGGAACAUGAUUGCAUUUUGUAAUCAAACCAAUUGCGAGAAAUUUUUAGCUAUGUUGGGCCGAUUUGAAUGUGAUUUAUUUAUUUUUCGAUAAGAUGAGAAGAAGGGUGAGACGAAGGUGGCAAAAGACGUCAAAAUGGGAAGAUCUGGAAAAAAAAAUUAAAGCUCCGAAGAGAACCAGAACUUCUCAUCCCAUAUUUUGUCAAAAAAAUUAGAGCCACGACCAAAUCCAGAGGUGCUUUGGAAAAGUAUCAGAUGAACACGACGAUAGCCUAAAUUUACCAGUAGUAGCAAAGCAAACAGGGGAGAUUUUUCAUUCAUCCUAGUAAAUUACUGAAACUCAAAGAGCAUACGUUUCCAUCUCUUGCACCAACAUCAAUUUAGUGACGCACGUAAAUAUCAAACGUGCUUUUAGCACAGAGAAAGACAUAAAAUCAGCAAAACUAACACAAUUAAAGUAGCCCUAUUUCAAUUGCUCCUCUUCAUUUAAAAUAAUUUUCAUCUUCUUUACAUUUCUUAUGAUGAUCCAGCGGGAUCAGUCGUGCCAGCUUGUCAAUGUCAUGUCAUUUAUGUAUAUCUGUGACAGCAUUUAGUAAGGAACAUACAGAUAUAUACAUAGACUCAAUCAACAAAAUGAUCCUACAGCCGAAGACAACAAGCACUCAUCGAUGUCCUUAUACUGCAUUUUAAAUAUUCCGAGGAGCUCCAAGUAGUAAGUAACGAAGCUAUUAUAAAUUGAAUUCGUAUUUUUUUCGAAUAGUCAAUUACAUUUUCCUGAUUUAUUUCUAAACGGGUAAGUAUUUAUCGACUCUUCAUUUCAUUUAACAGUUACAAUUGAUAAAAUCAUAAAACUUGGUGAAGGAUCUUUGGGAACAGUUUACAGAGGAAAACGCAAGGGCAUUCCCGUUGCUGUUAAAGAAAUUUAGUUACAAAACAUGGAUACAAAACUUUUUUAAAGAGAAGAAAAAGAAAACAUUUUGGUGGAACACAAAAAUGUGUUGAAAUUAUGGGACAUCCGUCAUUCCAAUGACAAUAGUUUCUUGUAUAGCUGACAUAUGAAAAUCUAUUUUAUAAUAAAAAGAAAUUAAUUUCUUCUAUUUAUUAUUGCAGGCAAUGGGUAUUAGAGUUGUGUGCUGGAACACUUAAAGACCACAGCGUUGGGAAUUUAGUGCAUCGCGAUCUUAAACCUGAAAAUCUGCUCAUCUCAGUGACAACACCCGUACAAAUGAAAAUAUCCGAUCUCGGUUUUGUUAAAAGAACAGACGAGAAUGGCUGCUUUUCUCAGAGUGAAAUCAGAGGAAGUCGUUUAUGGAUGGCACCUGAAAUGCUAGAAAAUUUUGAUUUAACUUGUCUUCUUCCCAAGGAAAUGUUUGCGGUCGACAUAUAUUCCAUGGGUUUCAGUAUUCUUUCAUAUAUCAGGAGGGUUUCAUGCUUUCUUCAGGGAAGGUAAAAUUUUGUAUAUGAAAAAUUUUGAACUGGUUCGAGGAAAAAUCAUUGGGAAUGAUCCUGUUGUGCUACAUUGCUGUAAAGAUUGUUUAACGCCUCUACUUUUUAACUUGAUUGGAAAUAUGAUCAAACCCAAAGAAGAAAGGACAAAUUUACCUGAAGUCAUAAAAAUAUUGAGAAAAGAAUUGUUUUCUUCGCGUUAGUGUAACUUUUCAUUGUGAAAUCCCAAAUAAUCGGUUUUUGCUAUCCAAACAAGGUCAAUUCAAAGUAGUGAUGCUGUCUGUGUUGAAAGAAGGAGUUUCUGUAAAUCGCUUCCACCCUAUCGAACCAAUUCUCGUCUGCGGCUUUGAUGAGCAAUUGGUUUGUUUUUCUGCGGAAAACUUUUCCAUUCCUUGUUCUAAUUGGAAGAUGGAAAAAAAUCAUCUUUGCAGUCUCAAUACAAAAACAAUUCAAGCAAUGGAAUGGAAUUGGACGGAUCCCAAUUGGCUGCCAUCUUUGGUAAAAGUCACGUCAUUGCAUGGGAUUACUUAAAACGCGAAAUUUUGGUUUCUAUUAAUUUACCGAAAAGUAUUAAUAGCAUCGUUUGGAAACCCAUCAGACAAAAUAUCUGUGCUCUUUUUCAUCCCUUGAUUGGAAACACAGUUAUUUUCUUGGAUUCCUCAUCUGUCGAAAGGGGGAUAAUUCCUUCCUCUUAGAGAAUGGCGACAUUGAUGUUUAUGUUAUUUGCGAAUCAAAAGAGCCGGAAGUCGUAAAAAAAUUCAAACACGACGAUUGCGAAUCUGAUAUGUAAUGAGACUAUAAGACGAAGUAUUUGGCCACUUUUUCUUGUGAUGAAUGUAUGAAGAUUUGGUCAAUGGACAGUGACCAACUCGUUCACACCCUGAAGAUCAACCCUGGAUGUCGCAUUUUUUCUUGUUGUUUGAAGGAGAAAAAACAGAAGAGAAGGGAAUAGACGCGACCAGAAUAUUUGCGAAAAACUUAUUUGUGCUGGUGGAAUGGACAACGGGCAGAUUGUUGUGAGGACUGAUUUUGAAGAGAAUAUAAACCAAAUUCUUAAUCAAUAUUACCUUUCAAUACUUUCGCUUUCUUUUUCACCUGGUGGGCGCUUUCUGUCGGCAUUGGAUGCAAGUGGAAAAAUAGUUAAAUCAGAUCACCUUGGUCGAUUGUUCAACAUCUCCCUUUGGACCUGUUUCCCCAGGGGGUCCGAUAUAUGGUGAGAUGGGUCGACAUCCCCCUCUAUUUCAUUCGAUGGACCAGUGUCUCCCUUUUGUCGAAUGUCUCCCUUUUCGCCUGAGAAUCCGAAUGUGCCAUUUACAUUUGUUUCUUCUAUACAUUUGUACAAGGUCAAAUAUUUAGAUAAUACCAAAUUUCAAACUGAUAUAAUGAAAUAAUUAAGAAAAAAGUAUUUCUAUCGUAAGAAUUUGUAUGCUAACCCAAUUCUCUCUUAUCACCUUAAGUUCUGACGGCUCCAACUCCAAUUUCUCUCUUGCUACCGCCCAGGUGGCACACAUCCCUGCAACAGACUCUGUUUCCCAUUUUCUGGGAAACAUACUGAAAACAGAUCUGUAACACCUCUGAAUUAGGUGUGAUUUUCAAUGUCUGUAAUCUGCAUUUAACACAUGCCUGU
RNAcentral lists this long non-coding RNA (4995 nucleotides) under Daphnia pulex (common water flea). RNAcentral's name for it is "uncharacterized LOC124207571, transcript variant X2". Lineage: Eukaryota; Metazoa; Arthropoda; Branchiopoda; Diplostraca; Daphniidae. The record is from RNAcentral.